GGACAAAACAAGGAGACUCCCUCUUGCUGGUUAUUUCUUGGCCCAGCCAUGCCGAUGACCGAUACUGUCUUCCCAAAGGCCAUGGAGGCUGUUUUCCACGGGCAAAGGUGAGGAAACAGAGGCUCAGGGGGGCCUGGUUUUGCCAGGGCCAUCGCAGGGCUUCCAGACUCUGCUGCCGGCCCGGAGACCACAGGUCCUCUCGCAGCAUCUGGAAUUCAAAGGCAGCGGAUGACCUCCAUGACGGCACAGGGUCACAGGGGUGGUGAAAAUGUCCUGGAAAUAGAGUGGUGGAUGCACGACAUUGUG
Molecule: long non-coding RNA, 306 nt
Organism: Cervus elaphus (red deer)
Lineage: Eukaryota; Metazoa; Chordata; Mammalia; Artiodactyla; Cervidae
Exons: 3
Source: RefSeq, a predicted model, not a curated record